UCAUCAUUUUUUUGUCCGAGAGCUAAUCAGAAAAUGUAGGUUUAUGGUGCCUUCAGUUCUGAAUUUUGUAAGGAUGUAAAACCGAUAAUUUUCCAUGUGGUUUUUUGAUGAGAAACACUCAAAUAUUGUAAACGACAUCUCUCACUCGAAGAAUUAUCUUCAGAACUCUAAAACUUUCAUUGACCAUCAGCAUAAAAGAGCAAUGAUAAACGUAUCGAAGAAAAUAUUGAAGCAAUCUGCAACUUAUUUUAUAGUUCAGAUAUCAACGCUGCCAAGGUAAACAAAUAAGUACGGUAAUACUCCAAUUAUUUAUAUCUACAGAUAACAACACCGACAAAAAAUUAUAUUUAUUUCAAUUGUUCACUCUAUUGAUCCAACCAUAUGACGAAAAUUGAAGAUUUGAAGGACGCAGAGACAUUCUUGAUAUUUUAGUGGUAUUUUCCAG
Long non-coding RNA from Harmonia axyridis, 445 nucleotides. RefSeq lists it as uncharacterized. The record is from RefSeq and is a predicted model, not a curated record. The transcript is spliced from 2 exons. Lineage: Eukaryota; Metazoa; Arthropoda; Insecta; Coleoptera; Coccinellidae.